Molecule: long non-coding RNA, 1271 nt
Organism: Malurus melanocephalus (red-backed fairy wren)
Lineage: Eukaryota; Metazoa; Chordata; Aves; Passeriformes; Maluridae
Exons: 6
Source: RefSeq, a predicted model, not a curated record
UCCGCCCGGCCCCGCUAGAGGGCUCCCGGGCAGCGCCCGCGGGACCCGGUACGGACCCGGUACGGACCCGGUACGGACCCACCGGGACCCCGGUACCGACCCUGCUCUGCGCUGCCGACCCGCUGAGACCCCGUAACAGAAACAACAACAGACUGAACUUCCCUGAAAGCCAGGGUGCUGCAGAGCUGUAGGUACCUUCAGUGGCAAGGUGAAGCCCAGCAGAAGGAUGUUCAUUCUCAACCUACACCAAAUACUGCGACAGGAUUCUGUUCCAGAGCAGCCUUGGAGCAGCUUAAAGGUGCCUUCCUGCUGUACCACACCUUGUCCCAGAUGGAGCACAGUGCCUUGGGAGACAGGUAAAGAGGGUGGUUGUCAUUCAGCAUGUCUGGYGGCCUCUUCCUGGCAUACUCCUUGUAACUGGCAACUGGACAGUUCUCUGGAUCCUCAGGCUUGGCUAAGAGYCGUGGGCUCAGCUCCCCUUCGUUUCCCUCCGGGCUCAGAUUGUCCUUCCACUCCAARUACUCCACCUCUCCGUUGGUCUUCCUCAGCACCAGCUGUCCCCAGUACAGCUGGGGGUUCUGCAUGUGGGUGCUUGCCCCAAACCCCCUAAUGAGGUACCGAUGCUUUGAUUUCCAGACUUCCUGAGAGGCUCUGAACUCUGGCCCUUUCAACAUGCUGUACUGGUAGCUGUGCUUCUUGAGAUAUAGGUCGAUGUUGCGCCGGGAGAAGUAUAAAGAAUUGGAAGAAAAAUCAUUGCCAUUCUGUUUCUUGGCAGAGCUGAAGAAUGAGACCAGGGCUGGGAUCUGGUCGCAGAUGGUACCGUGAGUGUGUGCCCAGAUGACAAGRUUGGCGAGAUCCUCCUGAAGGGAGCCAGCACUGCUGGACCCUGCAUCACUGAUGCUCUCGUUCUGUGAAGGUGUUGGGAGAGAAUCUUCCAGCAMAGUCUCUGGUGCUCAGCUACAGAUGCUUCAGUCUGCUGUGGCCUUCAAACUUCCAGCAACUGAGAUUUCCCCAAAGGAAUGGCAAGUGGAAUCAGUCUGACUGAUUCACAGUCACAGCUGAGUGCGAAAAAUGACCACUGUCCUUCUCCCAAAGGCUGAWAUGGUGUAUGUUUAUUCCCUUUAAACAAUAAAAAAAUCCAUCUUGAUCACUGCCACAGUUUUUACCUGCUUCCAACAACCCUGGGAUUGCUGUGGGGAGAGGUCUCAGUUUGGAUUUGGGGCUGAGGUUUGUUUUGGAGCCUCGUGCCUGAUUCAGUGUCUGUGUGSCUG